RNAcentral lists this ribosomal RNA (468 nucleotides) under uncultured bacterium. RNAcentral describes it as "partial 16S ribosomal RNA". It matches the Rfam family "Bacterial small subunit ribosomal RNA", at positions 28 to 507 of the family's 1533-position model. The record is from RNAcentral.
GACGAACGCUGGCGGCGUGCUUAACACAUGCAAGUCGAACGGAAAGGCCCUGCUUUUGUGGGGUUCUCGAGUGGCGAACGGGUGAGUAACACGUGAGUAACCUGCCCUUGACUUUGGGAUAACUUCAGGAAACUGGGGCUACUACCGGAUAGGAGCUCCUGCUGCAUGGUGGGGGUUGGAAAGUUGCGGCGGUCGGGGAUGGACUGGCGGCUUAUCAGCUUGUUGGUGGGGUAGUGGCUUACCAAGGCUGUGACGGGUAGCCGGCCUGAGAGGGUGAACGGGCACAAUGGGACUGAGAUACGGACCAGACGCGUACGGGAGGCAACAGUGGGGAAUAUUGCACAAUGGGCGGGAGCCUGAGGCAGCAGCGUCGCGUGCGGGAUGACGGCCUGCGGGUUGUGAACCGCUUUCGCCUGUGACGAAGCGUGAGUGACGGUAAUGGGUAAAGAAGCACCGGCUAACUACGUG